Vespa mandarinia (Asian giant hornet) is the source of this 2246-nucleotide long non-coding RNA. The record is from RefSeq and is a predicted model, not a curated record. Lineage: Eukaryota; Metazoa; Arthropoda; Insecta; Hymenoptera; Vespidae.
UGGAAUAGGAAUGUUCACGAUCGAUAUUUAAUAUGAAAGUUUGAAUCACGUGCGCGAACGUCCAGAGAUUACUUGGGCUUCUUGGAAGUCUUGAGAAGCGCCUCAACGUAAACAACAAGAAACGGCCGGGGGCAUUGGAGGUAACUCAAGGAUAUAGGCUAAGAGAGAGAAGAGCUUUCAUUCCAGCGUUGUACUCGGACGCGUUAACAUAGUCGAUUGUCACUCCCUCGACAGAUGUCGUCCUUCAGUAUUAAAGCCCAGUACCCGGACAAUGGAAGUCGAUUUGCUAUAAGACCAGUUUACCAAAGUCAGGGUAAACGAUUCUGCGAUGAAACUACGAAAAAUCUUCUACUCCCAAUAAUUAACUCUUGUGAAUAUUUUUUUAUGGAUUAAAUACAACAGGCGAUAAUCGGUCAGGUCGAUAAGCGAAAUACCACCGUCCGUGUGUUGUCAGCACGUCGGAAGGAUCGUAUCGGACGUAGAAACGAUGGACUGUGAAAAAUCUCGACUGGAAAUGUUUCCAGCCACGCCGGAGAGAGAUACUGGACCACCGAAAGGGAUAAUAUCUACUGAGAGAUAAGGACGGACGAACGAACGAACGAAUGAACGCAUCGCUUCCGGGCAUUACGACUACGGUACAACCAUAAGACGCGAACGUUAACUCCGUUUCCAAAGCAACGAUUUUCACGCUCGGUAUCGUCCUCGUCCCUUUUCAUGACACUUUUUUCAUCCCUAUCUCUAUCUCUAUCUCUCACUCUCUCUCUCAUUCUCUCUCUCUCUCUCUCUCUCUCUUUCUCUCUUUUUUCUCUCUCUUUCUAGUCGUUUUCAUGGCCGGUACUUGAGAUAAUGAAUGCUUACAACAUUAAUGCAAAAUCCUUACUGCAUUACUUCGUUCUUAUUAUCGUUGAAAUUAUUUUGUUUUUAUUUAUUUCGAUAAAAGUUUCGAUAUUUUUUUUUUUUUUUUUUUUUUUUUUUAAAUAUCUCUGAAAGAGAUAAUCGAGCAUGGUAGUAGAUGGCCCAAAUAAAUCAGUACGUAAUAAGAUUAUUGGUGCAUGUACGGGGGUGUAGUAGAACGAACGCUCGUGGUCAGCCAGGUGGAAUGUUCGAUGGCAAAGGGUUAAUGUGUGCCACUUCGCUUCCAAACUUCAGAAACUGUAAGGGCUAGUGAACCCAUUAGCGAUUAGUCUUCGUUUCAAAGGGUCUUUCAACCGUAUAAGAACGUCUAUUCACUAAUAUCUAUAAUUUUAAAUGGAUAUGUCACGAUCGAGAUAUCUAUCAAACAUUUCGAUAUAUCGAUUUCUCUUCAAACGUAAAAAUCUAACUAAUGAAAGUCGAUCAAUUAAAUAAGAUCGAUCGAGAGGAAAAAGAUUAUAAUUUUGAUCGUCGAUUAAUUUGAUUUCCUUCGAUCUUACCAAUGCACUUUUAGUUUUUUCUUAAACGUUACCGGAAAAUUUCACCCUCGCUAAUCGCCAACAGACGGAUAACAUCGGGAACAAGGAUAGGAGAAACGGAACGUCGAUCUUUGAUUUAUGAGCGAACGUUGGCGGCUGCCGGAAGUCGGCCGCUGUUAAAUUAAAAUCAAUAGCCGCAAUAUCAGAAACGGUUUAUAUCGUUUCAUUAACUAAAAUCAAGAAUCAUCAUUGAAUAAAAAUAUCCGACGGAUUCAGAACGUACGACCCGCAACAUUGGUUAAUUGUAAUUUAUUGUACCAACUAAUUACUAUCUCUCUCUCUCUCUCUCUCUCUUUCUCUCUCUCUUUUUCUCUUUCUUUCUCUCUUUCUCUCUUUAUUUUUCUUCGCUUUUUAUUGAGUACUAUCUUCUAAUAGUAACAUGGACUUAAACGAUAUUUCAAUGAGAGAGUCUCUAUGCACCACAUCUCUCAGCAAUAUUUUUUAUUUCUUUUCCUCUUUUUCUUCCUUUUUCUCUUCUUUUUUCGUUUUUUUCUUUUAGACAAGUUUUACGAUGAUCUUGCAGAAAGACGCAAUGGGUCACCGUGCUGGUGACGGAAAUUUAUUCGAAGACGCUAUUACAGCAGCGUUUCGUUUGCAAGGAAAAAUAGUAAAAGAGAGAGAGAGAGAGAGAGAGAGAGAGAGAGAGAGAGCUCGAAAAUUUAUUCUCGUGGUAAUUCGAUCAUGGCGUAUGUGAUGUUUUUAAAAAUCAUUAUUACUUAUAUAGCAUUUUGAUGUAACAUAAAAAACAUAAAUUAAUUAUAUAUAUAAAUAAAUAUUCUUAUUGUAGAAGUAAAG